This 239-nucleotide ribosomal RNA is filed under the name uncultured Lactobacillus sp. RNAcentral describes it as "partial 16S ribosomal RNA". It matches the Rfam family "Bacterial small subunit ribosomal RNA", at positions 122 to 354 of the family's 1533-position model. The record is from RNAcentral. Lineage: Bacteria; Bacillati; Bacillota; Bacilli; Lactobacillales; Lactobacillaceae.
UAACCUGCCCAAGAGAUCGGGAUAACACCUGGAAACAGAUGCUAAUACCGGAUAACAACAGAUGAUGCCUAUCAACUGUUUAAAAGAUGGUUCUGCUAUCACUCUUGGAUGGACCUGCGGUGCAUUAGCUAGUUGGUAGGGUAACGGCCUACCAAGGCGAUGAUGCAUAGCCAGUUGAGAGACUGAUCGGCCACAUUGGGACUGAGACACGGCCCAAACUCCUACGGGAGGCAGCAGAC